RNAcentral lists this ribosomal RNA (501 nucleotides) under uncultured microorganism. RNAcentral describes it as "bacterial SSU rRNA". It matches the Rfam family "Bacterial small subunit ribosomal RNA", at positions 9 to 521 of the family's 1533-position model. The record is from RNAcentral.
GAGUUUGAUCUUGGCUCAGGACGAACGCUGGCGGCGUGCCUAACACAUGCAAGUCGAGCGGAGACAGUGAGUAGCUUGCUAUGAGCUGUUUUAGCGGCGGACGGGUGAGUAACGCGUGAGCAACCUUUCCCAGACAGGGGAAUAACACACCGAAAGGUGUACUAAUACCGCAUAAGACCACGGGAUCACAUGGUUCUGGGGUAAAAGAUUUAUCGGUUUGGGUGGGCUCGCGUCCGAUUAGGUAGUUGGUGAGGUAACGGCCCACCAAGCCGACGAUCGGUAGCCGACCUGAGAGGGUGAUCGGCCACAUUGGGACUGAGACACGGCCCAAACUCCUACGGGAGGCAGCAGUGGGGAAUAUUGGGCAAUGGGGGAACCCUGACCCAGCAACGCCGCGUGGAGGAAGAAGGUUUUCGGAUCGUAAACUCCUGUCCUUGGAGACGAGUAGAAGACGGUAUCCAAGGAGGAAGCCCCGGCUAACUACGUGCCAGCAGCCGCGGU